AGGUUAACCAGGAAGUGAAUGAAAACGAGACAGAAAAACACAAAUCAGAUGGAUAUAGGAACCAAAAAUGAAGAGUUUGGGCAGAAAAGGCCAGAGACAAAAAGAAAAAAGCACUGCAGGCUCGUGCUCCAACGACAGUAUCAGUCCGCAGCGCGUGAAGAGGAGGAGAGAGUCACGUGGACAGAUGAUGCAGCACUCCUGGUGUGUGGUGGUCACCUCCGCAGGAACCAUGGCCUUUCUCUCCUUUCUUGUGUGAAUGAUUUUCCCCACACAAGAUCUACUCAUCUGACCUGAUCCCCGUCAAUCUCUUCCUGAUGUUGCAGCCUGCUGAUGGCUUUCUCCAGGUGGGAAGGUUUCGAGCAUUUUUGCUUGAACCAGCUGCUUGCUGCUGGAAACAGGAUGAUAAAAGCAUUGAGACGAAACCAAAACAGUGAGGUCGUGGACUGUAAAAUCAAAACAAUGAGCUGAAAGACACCAAAAAGGAACUGUUUUGCUUGGUGAUAAUACUCUGUAGGUUGUCACUAAGUGCUAACAAAGACUGUAUAAAAAAUAAU
Plectropomus leopardus (leopard coralgrouper) is the source of this 554-nucleotide long non-coding RNA. RefSeq lists it as uncharacterized. Lineage: Eukaryota; Metazoa; Chordata; Actinopteri; Perciformes; Serranidae. The record is from RefSeq and is a predicted model, not a curated record.